ACGGGUGAGUAAUACGUGAGAAUCUGCCUUUUAGUGGAGAACACCUUCGAGAAAUCGAAGUUAAUACUGCAUAAGUCCUGAGGGAGAAAGAUGGCCUCUUUGCUGUCGCUAAAAGAUGAGCUCACGCGCUAUCAGCUAGUUGGUGAGGUAAAGGCUUACCAAGGCAAUGACGGCUAGCCGGCCUGAGAGGGUGUACGGCCACACUGGAACUUAGACACGGUCCAGACUCCUACGGGAGGCAGCAGUGGGGAAUAUUGCGCAAUGGGCGAAAGCCUGACGCAGCGACGCCGCGUGAAGGAAGAAGGUCUUCGGAUUGUAAACUUCUGUUAAGUGGAAAGAAAACUUUACGUUUAAUACACGUAAGGAAUGACGGUACCAUUAGAGAAAGCACCGGCUAACUUCGUGCCAGCAGCCGCGGUAAUACGAAGGGUGCAAGCGUUAUUCGGAAUCAUUGGGCGUAAAGGGUGCGUAGACGGUAUGUUAAGUCUAUUGUUAAAUCUUCUGGCCUAACCAGAAAUCUGCAGUAGAUACUGAUGUGCUAGAGGGUGGAAGAGAGAAGUGGAAUUCUCGGAGUAGCGGUAAAAUGCGU
This 589-nucleotide ribosomal RNA is filed under the name uncultured bacterium. RNAcentral's name for it is "bacterial SSU rRNA". It matches the Rfam family "Bacterial small subunit ribosomal RNA", at positions 102 to 691 of the family's 1533-position model. The record is from RNAcentral.